UAGGGAAUAUUGCACAAUGGGGGAAACCCUGAUGCAGCGACGCCGCGUGAGUGAUGAAGGCCUUCGGGUCGUAAAGCUCUGUUGAACGGGAAGAAAAAAAUGACGGUACCGUUUAAGAAAGGAUCGGCUAACUUCGUGCCAGCAGCCGCGGUAAUACGAGGGAUCCUAGCGUUGUUCGGAAUCAUUGGGCGUAAAGAGUAUGUAGGCGGCCUAGUAAGUCAGUUGUGAAAGCCCCGGGCUCAACCCGGGAAGUGCAAUUGAUACUGCUUGGCUUGAAUGUGGAAGAGGGCAGUAGAAUUCCAGGUGUAGUGGUGAAAUACGUAGAUAUCUGGAGGAAUACCGGUGGCGAAGGCGGCUGCCUGGUCCUACAUUGACGCUGAGAUACGAAAGCGUGGGGAGCAAACAGG
This 407-nucleotide ribosomal RNA is filed under the name uncultured bacterium. RNAcentral describes it as "bacterial SSU rRNA". It matches the Rfam family "Bacterial small subunit ribosomal RNA", at positions 355 to 776 of the family's 1533-position model. The record is from RNAcentral.